RNAcentral lists this transfer RNA (62 nucleotides) under Ampullaceana lagotis. Its description in RNAcentral is "tRNA-Cys". Lineage: Eukaryota; Metazoa; Mollusca; Gastropoda; Lymnaeidae. The record is from RNAcentral.
AAAAAAUUAGUUUAAAAAAAACCUCUAAUUGCAAGUUAGAUAUUUACGGAAGUAAUUUUUUU